This 569-nucleotide long non-coding RNA is filed under the name Heterocephalus glaber (naked mole-rat). RNAcentral's name for it is "lncRNA (ENSHGLG00100035589.1)". Lineage: Eukaryota; Metazoa; Chordata; Mammalia; Rodentia; Bathyergidae. The record is from RNAcentral.
AAAAAAAUUAAUGAUCUCUGUUGGUUUCAGCCAAACAUUUCAACCCAAACAUUUCAUGCAAAAUAAACAGAUAAAUAAAUAAAUAAUAAAUUUUCUCUUGGAAAAUCAAACUUUCAAGGUGGCACAGGACCAGCAUUUCUGCUUGACAAUGCCUAGAGCUAGGGGGCAGUAUAUCAUUGUGUAUGAUAAAAACCUGACCUCGUGUUAAGCAAGUAAGGAGUUAAACUUUUUUCCUGCAGCCAAAUAUCCAGGGAUUGGAUGUCCAGGGCAGGCUCUGAGGCUGAGCAACGCCAUCAGCCCCCAGGUCCCCUGGCUGGCGACUCUGUUAUGUGUGCUGUUUGUUCCUCAUGAUCUCAAGAUGGCUGCUGCUAAUCCAGCUGUGAUAUCUGUGCUUCAAGAAGAAAAGAGGGAAUCUACGGAGGCAGCACGAUCCUUAGUGGGAAAGAUUGAAAACAAGCACUCUGGACUUGUACUCAGUGAUGAAGUAGCCUUGGCUCCUGCCGGAGGUGGUCACAGUCCAGCAGGGGAGAGAAGACAUAUGUGCCCUGAACUACAGAUGAUGGAGAAGG